GGGCACAUGGUGUAGUUGGUUAUCACAUCCGCUUAGCAAUUAAUGAUCUGAAGGAUUUGUGUGCCCCCCUGAUGCGCAAAUCUUUCAGAUUAUUAAUUUCCACAAUGCGGGGGGUGCUGGGUUCAAUUCCCAGUGUGUCCA
This 141-nucleotide transfer RNA is filed under the name Lentinula boryana. RNAcentral describes it as "tRNA-Ala". It matches the Rfam family "tRNA". From Rfam's summary of the family: Transfer RNA (tRNA) molecules are approximately 80 nucleotides in length. Lineage: Eukaryota; Fungi; Basidiomycota; Agaricomycetes; Agaricales; Omphalotaceae. The record is from RNAcentral. RNAcentral also lists the same sequence under 1 other name.